GACGAACGCUGGCGGCGUGCUUAACACAUGCAAGUCGAACGGAAAGGCCCUGCUUUUGUGGGGUGCUCGAGUGGCGAACGGGUGAGUAACACGUGAGUAACCUGCCCUUGACUUUGGGAUAACUUCAGGAAACUGGGGCUAAUACCGGAUAGGAGCUCCUGCUGCAUGGUGGGGGUUGGAAAGUUUCGGCGGUUGGGGAUGGACUCGCGGCUUAUCAGCUUGUUGGUGGGGUAGUGGCUUACCAAGGCUUUGACGGGUAGCCGGCCUGAGAGGGUGACCGGCAACAUUGGAACUGGGAUACGGCCCAGACUCCUCCGGAGGCAGCAGUGGGGAAUAUUGCACAAUGGGCGGAAGCCUGAUGCAGCAACGCCGCGUGCGGGAUGACGGCCUUCGGGUUGUAAACCGCUUUCGCCUGUGACGAAGCGUGAGUGACGGUAAUGGGUAAAGAAGCACCGGCUAACUACGUG
Molecule: ribosomal RNA, 467 nt
Filed under: uncultured bacterium
Lineage: Bacteria
Description: partial 16S ribosomal RNA
Rfam family: Bacterial small subunit ribosomal RNA
Source: RNAcentral